GCUUCUGAUUGGAUCUGGAGCGUUACAUCACCACUUUCAAGAUGAAGACUGUACUCUGCUUACUGCUGCUCUCAUUCAGCGUAUACCGAAUAAAAUGUCAAACAAUGGAGUCCAUUGAAAGCACGCUUCAGAAAAAGCCUGGAGAAACUCUGACUCUGUCCUGUAGAGGAUCUGGGUUCAGCUUUGACUGCUGUAGCAUGCACUGGAUCAGACAACAAGCUGGAAAACCUCUUGUGUGGAUUGGACGUGUUUAUAGUCAUGGCAAUAGCCAUGACUAUGCAGAAUCCUUCAAAAGACGAACUGAAAUCAGUAGAGAUAAUUCAAAGAAUAUGGUCUAUCUGAAACUGUCGGGCCUGACAACAGAAGACUCAGCCACAUAUUACUGUGCAAGAGAAACACGGUGACACAAAGUUAUUGCAACGCUAAACAAAAAACACUUGGAGUGUUUCAUCUCUUGUGGAGUUCAACAGAUGGCAGCAGAGAAUAGAAAAUCCUGAACAUACAGACUAAUGAGAAGAUAUACCAUCACUGAAACUGUCACAUUAUUAUAGUCUAUUAGAUUACGGUUACAUUUACAGUGACGCACACUAGCUCAAACAUUACACAAAGGUAUAUCUGACUCCUUUACCACAACACAUAUUUUUUAUAUAGAUUUGUGGUAGUGGCUACACAUUUUACAGUGAAAAACUAAAAAGUAUGUUUCAUGUAACCAGAGACUCUUCCAGGAGUAUAUAAGUGAAAAUGAGUAUAAAAGGGCAGAAUAUAACAAUGAAUAUCAGCAUCUUACUGUGCAUGAGAGCGAAUA
Non-coding RNA from Pimephales promelas (fathead minnow), 805 nucleotides. NCBI's taxonomy places the organism in Eukaryota, Metazoa, Chordata, Actinopteri, Cypriniformes, Leuciscidae. The record is from the annotation of a RefSeq genome assembly.